Long non-coding RNA from Crotalus tigris (Tiger rattlesnake), 258 nucleotides. RefSeq lists it as uncharacterized. The record is from RefSeq and is a predicted model, not a curated record. Lineage: Eukaryota; Metazoa; Chordata; Lepidosauria; Squamata; Viperidae. The transcript is spliced from 3 exons.
GUAUUAUUCCUUUGGACUGCACAAUAGUUGGUUGAGUGACUUUGGGCCAUUAACCAAGAGAAUCUUAUUUUUAUUCCUACAAUAGGCAUUGAGACAGCUACAACUGCACAACUAGCAGAUCGGUGACUUCUUUCAGUAGGCAUGGUGAGUUUUACAGGUGCAAAAAAGAACAAGUGGUGGAUAAGUGACUGUAUAAAUCAAAAAGAGAGGUAUGGAAGGAGAUUUCCACUCCUGCACGGCUGGGAGAAUAGUUACUGG